GGAUCUUCCCCACACCUUAACCUCACCAAAUCCAACGGCUGAUUUAAUUAACGGGGGUUUCAAGAGCCCCAAAAAUGGGAAUAUUAUUGGCCCUGCUUUAGCAGUAUAGCUUACCCCAAAUUCUGGGAGUAAUAUUCCUUUGGCAUCUAAUUUGAAUUCACAAAUCCUUUACGAACAGUAACAGCAUUAGUAAUGGUACCUAACGUCUCCAUCCCCUCUAUACCCCACCCCUUCCUUAGAGUGUAUAUAUAUAACACUAAAAUCAUAUGAUUUGAUACCAAGAAAAUCAGAGAAAAAAAAAAAAACUUUCAAUUGGGCUCUUGAUCAUAAUCAGAUAUGACAGAAAUUAUGGUGAUUUUCGACUUCGACAAGACUAUUAUCGAUAUAGAUAGCGAUAAUUGGGUGGUUGAUGAACUGGGUGCUACUGACUUGUUUAAUCAACUUCUUCCAACCAUGCCUUGGAAUUCUAUGAUGGUAAGUUUUCAACUUUUGAUUUACACAUUAUUUCCGACUUUAACUUAGCAACGAGGGAUAUAGUAUUAUGACUUGAGAUUCCAUCUUAGAAGUUCAACUGGUUUAUGUUUUUAUUGGGAUUUUAUUCUUUAAAAAAAGUUAUUACAGGUUUUUAAGGUAGAAGUUGUCAACAUAAUUUAUACAAUGUACAAAUGUAAACAUGUUCAUAUGUUUUGAAUUUUUUUCCUAAUUGAGUUUCUAAUCAAUGGGUUUUUGAAUUUGUUUGUCAUUACAGGACAGGAUGAUGAAAGAGCUUCAUGCAGAAGGGAAAACCAUUGAAGACAUUGAAGAUGUACUAAAAAGGGUCCCAAUACAUCCCAGAGUAGUCCCAGCCAUCAAAACAGCUCAUUCUUUAGGGUAAAUUUUGCAGAGUUUGGGGAUAAAAAAUUCUUACAUUAUGCGGUUUUCGAUACGUUUUUAUUGAUAGAAUUCGAUGGAAAAUUUCUAUUCUAGGUGUGAUUUGAGGGUAGUCAGUGAUGCAAAUCUCUUCUUUAUUGAAACAAUCUUGAAUCAUCUUGGAAUAAGGGAAUGUUUUACUGAAAUCAACACAAAUCCAAGCUACGUAGAUGAAGAAGGAAGGCUAAGAAUUUUCCCAUUUCAUGAUUUUCAUUCAUCUUCUCAUGGCUGCAAUCUCUGCCCUCCAAACAUGUGCAAGGUAUAUAUACUAAUUUCAUCCCAUGUUUUUCUUGUUAUAUAUUAUGGGAUUAUAGUCACUAGUCGAUCCCAAAAGAAAUGGAUCUUUCACCACGAGUUCAAAUAGAGAUAAGAGACAGGAACCAAAAAAAAAAAAAAAAACUGAAAAAAUAAUUGCAAUAACUUUAUUACUAAUCCCAGUUCAAGAACAAUUCCAUGAAGAAUUUAUUCAUUCUAGAAUAUGCUGGAAUGUGGCCUAAUUAAACUCAACAAUUAUCCUUGUUAAUUGAUUAAUAUUAGCUUAAAAAACAAUUUUGGAAAGAUGGUGACACAUUAAGAACAAAUCAAUAUAUUUUAUUUAAUCAUAUAUAUUUUUUAAUUUUUUUGGUUUUGUUUUAAGCAGGGAAAGAUUAUAGAGAGGAUUCAAGCCUCUUUAGCUAUAGAAGGGCAGAAAAGAAUAAUCUAUCUUGGCGAUGGAAGGGGUGACUUUUGUCCGAUGUCGAAGCUUAAGGAAGUAGAUUACGUAAUGCCGAGGAAGAAUUUCCCGGUUUGGGAACUGAUAUCGAAAAAUCCUGAACUUGUAAAAGCAGAAAUCCACGAAUGGACUGAUGGGGUUGAGCUCGAACGUAUUCUGCUAAAUCUUAUCAAGAAAAUUAAGGUUCAAGACUCGAUUCAACAGUUAUCGGUUGAUUGCAAGUUCGAGACUAUUCCUAUGGCUGUUCAUGAGCCAUUGAUGCCUGCCCUUCCAGUUAACCAGUAGCUUGAUAGUUUAAAUUUUCUAAAUUUCUGCUACUGUCACUGGCAAAAUGUUGUAGAUUCUUAUAGUCGACAUAAAACAUUUUUUGGUCUAAUUUUUGUUGGAAAAUGGUUUCAAGUGAGCAUCUUUGAGGUCAAUUUAGAGUGGGGUCCGUAAUUCAAAAUUAAUUAGAUCAAACAUAUUCAUGUUUUAUUUUGCGAAAGGAUUAAUGUGAUAGAAUUAUUUGUCGAAACAAUAAGUUCUGACUGAAAUAUUUUGAUUCAAAGUGACAUAAUUGAACUUGGUAUGGAAGAAUUUGAUUGAAUUGUUUAGCAAUUGGGCGGGGUAGUGUCGGUAUGACUCAUUGUCUGAAAUAUAUCUUUUUGAAGAAAAUUUCUUUAGAUUUUCUAGGCCAAAUUGUAAUUAUAAAAUUCUUUGGGUACAUCAACAAAAUUAUUCUUAAUGGUAUUAUAUUUCAAACCGUUUGAAUUUUUAUUUUUUUUGAGCUUUUUGGGCUAUGAUCAACCAUCUGUUUGUGGUUAACGUAUGUGAUAAAUGUCUAUUACUAAUCGUGAUUGACGUCUGUGACUGACUUAACGAAUGCCUCAAUUCAUUUGGAAGAGUACCUGAACUGUUGUUGUUCAUGACUUUUAGGUUGUUUGAAUGGCUAUAAACACUUUACGAAUAGAAUUUUUCUAUGCCAAAAUUAUAAUACCAAUUCCGAAUUGUAUAUACCAAUACACAUUGAAACAAUCAUGAGACAUACUAAUAAGUGUAUUUUUACACACUUAUUUAAUAUCUAAAUGUGUUAUUUAUUGAUUAAAUUAGUGAAAUUUUACUCACAAUUAUGUAAUAUUUGCUUUUGUAGGCCAAAAAUCAUACAAGGAAAGAGAAUAUAGCAAAAGGAGGAAAAAGGACUAAAAGUGUGCAAAUUUGUGAAGUUGGGACCAAAAUGCAAAAGGACCAAAAGUUCAAGGACUUGGAGUUGUAAUUUUUGGAGGGCAAAAUUGAAAUAAAAGUCAAAAUUCGAGGACAAAUUUGUACAAGUUCAAACAUUGAGGGAUCUAGUUUGCAAAUAUGAGGACUGAGCUGCAAAUAAGAUAAAAUAGGAGGUGGCACUGUAGUGGAGCCGCAGCGCCACGGCUUUGUCCACUAUGGCGCUGUAGCGCCACUUCAAGGCGUCGCGACUGCAUACCAAGAUCUGUCUGGCUAGAUUUUUUAAUUGGGGAUCAUUUUGCAAUUAACCAAACACGAUUUUUGGGACUUUUAAAAGACAAAUUCAACCAUUUUCUCAUCAUUCUUCAUCUUGGAAAGAAAACCCUAACCUCUCUUCUUAUUAGUUUUCUUUCUUCUGUCUUUUUCUCCUUUUUCUUUUCUUUUCCUUCGUACUUUUGAAAGCAAAUUAUAGAGUACGAAGAGAAAAUAUUUAAAUAUUUGGAAAAAUCAAAGUCGAUCUUCAAAUUGGGUUGUAUCUAUAAUUUUGUAUUUUCUUAAAUAUUU
Molecule: long non-coding RNA, 3382 nt
Filed under: Olea europaea subsp. europaea
Lineage: Eukaryota; Viridiplantae; Streptophyta; Magnoliopsida; Lamiales; Oleaceae
Source: RNAcentral